RNAcentral lists this transfer RNA (76 nucleotides) under Ephemeroptericola cinctiostellae. RNAcentral's name for it is "tRNA-Trp". It matches the Rfam family "tRNA". From Rfam's summary of the family: Transfer RNA (tRNA) molecules are approximately 80 nucleotides in length. Lineage: Bacteria; Pseudomonadati; Pseudomonadota; Betaproteobacteria; Burkholderiales; Burkholderiaceae. The record is from RNAcentral.
AGGGGCGUAGCUCAACUGGUAGAGUGACGGUCUCCAAAACCGUAGGUUGGGGGUUCGAAACCCUCCGCCCCUGCCA